UGGGGAAUUUUGCGCAAUGGGCGAAAGCCUGACGCAGCAACGCCGCGUGAGUGAAGAAGGCCCUUGGGUCGUAAAGCUCUUUUCUGAGGGAAGAGACCAGACGGUACCUCAGGAAUAAGCACCGGCUAACUCCGUGCCAGCAGCCGCGGUAAUACGGAGGGUGCAAGCGUUGUUCGGAUUUACUGGGCGUAAAGGGCGUGUAGGCGGAUGCGUAAGCUGGAGGUGAAAGCCCCUGAGCUUAACUUGGGAACUGCUUCCAGAACUGCGCAUCUUGAGAGAGUCAGAGGCAGGUGGAAUUCCUGGUGUAGAGGUGAAAUUCGUAGAGAUCAGGAGGAACACCGGUGGCGAAGGCGGCCUGCUGGGACUUUUCUGACGCUGAGGCGCGAAAGCGUGGGGAGCAAACAGGAUUAGAUACCCCGGUAGUCCACGCUGUAAACGAUGAGCACUCGAUGUGCGGGGUACGACCCCUCGCGUGUCACAGCUAACGCAUUAAGUGCUCCGCCUGGGGACUACGGUCGCAAGACUA
RNAcentral lists this ribosomal RNA (526 nucleotides) under uncultured bacterium. RNAcentral's name for it is "bacterial SSU rRNA". It matches the Rfam family "Bacterial small subunit ribosomal RNA", at positions 355 to 896 of the family's 1533-position model. The record is from RNAcentral.